Molecule: long non-coding RNA, 796 nt
Organism: Olea europaea var. sylvestris
Lineage: Eukaryota; Viridiplantae; Streptophyta; Magnoliopsida; Lamiales; Oleaceae
Exons: 2
Source: RefSeq, a predicted model, not a curated record
AAAAAAAAUGAAAAAAGAAGGUUGAUAAAUGAAAACCCUGUAUUUCAGCUUCUCUCUCCCAAAGUCGAACCGGAAGGAGACCCAAAAUCCAAAUCCAAGCCCUUCAUCUCUGUCAUCAUGCUGCACGUUCACCGAAUGUGGCGCCAUAGCAGACCAACCAAAUAGGUCGCCAUCUGAGUAGAAGUGAGAGAAAUUGGUAAAGAAAAAAAUUGUGUCUCCCACCUUUGAAACCUCAGAAAUCAAAAGGUCAAAAUUCCUGUUUCCUUCCAUCUCCGGUUCAUCGAACGUGGAGCCAUAGCAGACCGCAGUGGUGAGAAAUUUCUGUCUAAAGCCAUACAGGAGCACGGCAGGGGAAGGUGCUAGAAAGUAGAAAUGGGGGUGGAGAUCCAAGAACAUCAUGACCGGCCAAGGAAAUAGAGAAGAGUCUACUGGAGCUUCACCAGAUGUUUCUCGACAUGGCAGUAAUGGUUGAGGCACAAGGUGAGCAAAUGGAUGAUAUCAAACACUAUGUUACAAAUGCGUUCAAGUAUGUGAGUGAUGGGACUAAAAGCCUUAAGAUUGCAAAAGAGCACAAGAGGAGUAGCAGAAGAUGGUUUUGUAUUGGAAUUCUCUCUUGCAUUUAGUUGCCCCAUAUAUGACUUAUAUGGGGCAAAAACUUAAUAUAAUGUAAUAAUAUGUGUCAAAGUAUGUGUCAUCUUCAAACAUAAAAAACAUGCUACUCAAGUUUAUCAAUAUCAAUUGCUUAUUGUAAUUUAAUUAUUUGCAUUUCUCACUGAAGUUCCAUUUCCCGAAGGCA